AAUCGAUGAGCCGGCAACGGUGUGAUUCAUUGAUCGCCCGCGGGUGGUGGAUGGGGAUAACGCUGGGUCCAAGAAUCCCAGCUAGUCUCCAAUGCAGAUAUCCUCUGAUCCUGAGUAUCCAAACGUGCUAACAGGACUCUUCGUCAUCAUUGAAGAUAGCAAAGGGUGCAUGGAAUUCUUCACGGAUAUCUUGCGGUGUAGCAUCUUCGUCCAUAGGUUCGGGUUGCUCAAUUGGAGCUCUAGAAGUAGUGCCGGGUCUUGUCUUCGUUCGUCCCAUGACUGAGCUAAUGAUGGACAAAUAAGGGUUAUGGCGGAACGACUGAAAAUCACUCCAACGGUUGGAGUGGGCUUACUGAUGUGCGGAUGAGUCUGGUGGACGGGGACAAGGGUGGCACUGACAAAGAGGCGCUGACGGCGGCUGAAUUCAGGCCAGAGUAAGAGCUAUGCGCAGGAUGCGCCGGAGCAGCAGAUCUGGAGUGCAACGGUGAAAAGUCGCGCUGUGUGUGGAGCUAGGCGUCUGAAUCUAGUGACGCGCUGGGUGGCUGACCUGCUCGGAGACGGGAGCGGAAAAGAGACCGUUUGAAGACAGAUAGUGAGGAGGAACAACGGCGA
RNAcentral lists this long non-coding RNA (612 nucleotides) under Salvia miltiorrhiza (redroot sage). RNAcentral describes it as "long non-coding RNA (SMIL_LNC011546)". Lineage: Eukaryota; Viridiplantae; Streptophyta; Magnoliopsida; Lamiales; Lamiaceae. The record is from RNAcentral.